Rana temporaria (common frog) is the source of this 1146-nucleotide long non-coding RNA. RefSeq lists it as uncharacterized. The transcript is spliced from 2 exons. The record is from RefSeq and is a predicted model, not a curated record. Lineage: Eukaryota; Metazoa; Chordata; Amphibia; Anura; Ranidae.
UGCAAAGAAUUAUAGUGAUAUCAGUUUUACAUGGUGUUUAGUUGCACUUCAAGAGGCAGUAAUUCUGUGGUUGUUGUCUUCAGUGAUUGGGUGCUUUAACGGAAAAGGGUUGUACUUUACUUGCAGAAGCAGGGAGCAUGAUUUAUAGCCGUUAGUUAAAAUAAAGCCCUGAUACAAACAGAGGGGUUUCUAUUUUACUUUAAAUAUGAACAUGAAUUGGCUUAUAGAGUAGAAUGGGAUUUUCUUUGUGGAUGCUUGUAUUACCUAUAUAUCUGUCUGGAGUAAUUCUCUUCUUUCCCAUGUCCUCCAUAUGCUUGUGAUGUGACACCACACCUGAGGAGAUGAUGUGCAUUAUAACUGCUGUAAGCAGAAAGUAGAGAGCUGGCCUCAGGUUCUCUGUUUUGUACAAUAUCCACCUAACAUGGAAACACAAGGGAUGAUAUCAGCUCAAACAGCAAUGCUUUUUUAACCAGACCUGUAGUACCAUCCUUGGUUGUGGCUUCAACAACCGGCAGAGUGCGGACAGCAGAAAUGAGAGUUGACUCCCACAAAGAAGGCACUGUUUCCGGCAGAUGUUCCAGAUACAAGGCCUAAAGAUCCUACCACAAGAAAAAAAAAAAGUUGCGUAAAAUAUAUGUACAUUUUUUUUCUGACAAGACAAGGUCUGCAUGACUUCGAGAAAUGUCUCUUGUGUCCAUUAAGAAACUCUUACUUUUUUUAAUAACAUGAAUUAAUUUGUUUACCAUUUUUCAUGAAAUGGUUAGCCUUAAAAAUCUAUAAACAUCUAAAGGAGUAAUUUUUCUAAUUUGAUAAGACAAAUCUUUUUUUGGAUAUGCACUCUAAAUAUGACAAAUACAAAAUCAUAUUUACAGUUUGCCACUGGGAAACAGGCCAGCAUUUUAAGGUCUACUUUUAUAUUUUCCACAACUGUAACAUAAUGCCCAUCCAUGUACAAUGGAAGAACCAUUUAACAAAUGCAUUGCCUAUGAUUGGGCCUAUUUAAUAAAGAUGUAAAACAAAAUGCUACCUUUGAAACUGUUAAUAGACUUUCUUUGUAAAAUAACCUGGAUUUGUGAAACCAGGAAGACUCCAAACGUACUUUAAUGCAUAGGCGUACAUUUAUAGUAAAAGCCAGCAUUGACCUCC